GAGAAGAUAGUGGCGAACGGGUGAGUAACACGUGGGUAACCUGCCCAUAAGAGGGGGAGUAACAUCCGGAAACGGUGCUAAUACCGCAUAGUUUUCUUGAUCGCAUGAUCGGGAAAGGAAAGACGGCCUUUGUGCUGUCGCUUAUGGAUGGACCCGCGGCGUAUUAGUUAGUUGGUGAGGUAACGGCUCACCAAGACGAUGAUACGUAGCCGACCUGAGAGGGUGAUCGGCCACAUUGGGACUGAGACACGGCCCAAACUCCUACGGGAGGCAGCAGUAGGGAAUCUUCCGCAAUGGACGAAAGUCUGACGGAGCAACGCCGCGUGAGUGAAAGAAGGUUUUCGGAUCGUAAAACUCUGUUGUCAGAGAAGAACAAGUUGGAGAGUAACUGCUCCAGCCUUGACGGUAUCUGACCAGAAAGCCACGGCUAACUACGUGCCAGCCGCGGC
Molecule: ribosomal RNA, 449 nt
Filed under: uncultured bacterium
Lineage: Bacteria
Description: bacterial SSU rRNA
Rfam family: Bacterial small subunit ribosomal RNA
Source: RNAcentral